This 234-nucleotide long non-coding RNA is filed under the name Elaeis guineensis (African oil palm). Its description in RNAcentral is "long non-coding RNA (EGUI_LNC049437)". Lineage: Eukaryota; Viridiplantae; Streptophyta; Magnoliopsida; Arecales; Arecaceae. The record is from RNAcentral.
GGUGAUAUUUCAAUCAGCAUGAUCCUAAUCCGAUCAGUGACUUGGUGAAGUAGUGGGAGGAUUAUGAUCUACUGAUUGAUCUCUUCUCUUUUCUCUUCUUAAAAAUCAAAAUUAAAUUCUCUAAUUAUUAGGUUCCUUAAAUGAGUUGGUUAUGAUAAUAACUGGAUCAUAGCCUCCUAUUAAGUUUGAUGAUAAUGGUCUAUUAGUAUGAUGAUCAUUGGAGGCCCAAAGGCC